GGGGAACUGUAGCAGCUUGCUGCUUCGCUGACGAGUGGCGGACGGGUGAGUAAUGUCUGGGAAACUGCCUGAUGGAGGGGGAUAACUACUGGAAACGGUAGCUAAUACCGCAUAACGUCGCAAGACCAAAGAGGGGGACCUUCGGGCCUCUUGCCAUCAGAUGUGCCCAGAUGGGAUUAGCUAGUAGGUGGGGUAACGGCUCACCUAGGCGACGAUCCCUAGCUGGUCUGAGAGGAUGACCAGCCACACUGGAACUGAGACACGGUCCAGACUCCUACGGGAGGCAGCAGUGGGGAAUAUUGCACAAUGGGCGCAAGCCUGAUGCAGCCAUGCCGCGUGUAUGAAGAAGGCCUUCGGGUUGUAAAGUACUUUCAGCGGGGAGGAAGGCGAUACGGUUAAUAACCGCGUCGAUUGACGUUACCCGCAGAAGAAGCACCGGCUAACUCCGUGCCAGCAGCCGCGGUAAUACGGAGGGUGCAAGCGUUAAUCGGAAUUACUGGGCGUAAAGCGCACGCAGGCGGUCUGUCAAGUCGGAUGUGAAAUCCCCGGGCUCAACCUGGGAACUGCAUCCGAAACUGGCAGGCUUGAGUCUCGUAGAGGGGGGUAGAAUUCCAGGUGUAGCGGUGAAAUGCGUAGAGAUCUGGAGGAAUACCGGUGGCGAAGGCGGCCCCCUGGACGAAGACUGACGCUCAGGUGCGAAAGCGUGGGGAGCAAACAGGAUUAGAUACCCUGGUAGUCCACGCCGUAAACGAUGUCGACUUGGAGGUUGUGCCCUUGAGGCGUGGCUUCCGGAGCUAACGCGUUAAGUCGACCGCCUGGGGAGUACGGCCGCAAGGUUAAAACUCAAAUGAAUUGACGGGGGGCCCGCACAAGCGGUGGAGCAUGUGGUUUAAUUCGAUGCAACGCGAAGAAACCUUACCUGGGUCUUGACAUCCACAGAACUUUCCAAAAGAUGGAUUGGGUGCCUUCCGGGAACUGUUAAGACAGGUGCUGCAUUGGCUGUCGUCCAGCUCCUUGUUGUGAAAAUGUUGGGGUUAAGUCCCCCCAACCAACCCCAACCCUUAAUCCUUUA
Molecule: ribosomal RNA, 1072 nt
Filed under: Kosakonia cowanii
Lineage: Bacteria; Pseudomonadati; Pseudomonadota; Gammaproteobacteria; Enterobacterales; Enterobacteriaceae
Description: bacterial SSU rRNA
Rfam family: Bacterial small subunit ribosomal RNA
Source: RNAcentral